This 443-nucleotide ribosomal RNA is filed under the name uncultured bacterium. RNAcentral describes it as "partial 16S ribosomal RNA". It matches the Rfam family "Bacterial small subunit ribosomal RNA", at positions 338 to 795 of the family's 1533-position model. The record is from RNAcentral.
CCUACGGGAGGCAGCAGUGGGGAAUAUUGGGCAAUGGGCGCAAGCCUGACCCAGCAACGCCGCGUGAAGGAAGAAGGCUUUCGGGUUGUAAACUUCUUUUAUUAGGGACGAAACAAAUGACGGUACCUCAUGAAUAAGCCACGGCUAACUACGUGCCAGCAGCCGCGGUAAUACGUAGGUGGCAAGCGUUAUCUGGAUUUACUGGGUGUAAAGGGCGUGUAGGCGGGACUGCAAGUCAGAUGUGAAAAUUAUGGGCUCAACCCAUAACCUGCAUUUGAAACUGUAGGUCUUGAGUGAUGGAGAGGCAGGCGGAAUUCCUGGUGUAGCGGUGAAAUGCGUAGAUAUUAGGAGGAACACCAGUGGCGAAGGCGGCUUACUGGACUGUAACUGACGUUGAGGCUCGAAAGCGUGGGGAGCAAACAGGAUUAGAUACCCCAGUAGUC